This 77-nucleotide transfer RNA is filed under the name Parcubacteria group bacterium ADurb.Bin192. RNAcentral describes it as "tRNA-Met". It matches the Rfam family "tRNA". From Rfam's summary of the family: Transfer RNA (tRNA) molecules are approximately 80 nucleotides in length. RNAcentral also lists the same sequence under 2 other names. The record is from RNAcentral.
GGCGGGGUAGCUCAGUUGGUUAGAGCGCGGGACUCAUAAGCCCGAGGUCGUGGGUUCGAUCCCCACCUCCGCUACCA